GAUGAACGCUGGCGGCGUGCCUAAUACAUGCAAGUCGAGCGCGAGAUUGAGGAGCUUGCUCCUUAAUCCCGAGCGGCGGACGGGUGAGUAACACGUAGGCAACCUACCCUUGAGAUUGGGAUAACUACCGGAAACGGUAGCUAAUACCGGAUAGGACUUUCCUGCAUAAGCAGUUAAGUUAAAUGGCGGAUUUAUCUGCCGCUCAUGGAUGGGCCUGCGGUGCAUUAGCGAGUUGGUGAGAUAGUGGCUCACCAAGGCGACGAUGCAUAGCCGACCUGAGAGGGUGAUCGGCCACACUGGGACUGAGACACGGCCAGACUCCUACGGGAGGCAGCAGUAGGGAAUCUUCCGCAAUGGACGCAAGUCUGACGGAGCAACGCCGCGUGAGUGAUGAAGGGUUUCGGCUCGUAAAACUCUGUUGUUAAGGAAGAACACUUGAAGUAGUAACUGGCCUUGAGAUGACGGUACUUAACCAGAAAGCCACGGCUAACUACGUGCCAGCCGCCGCCGUAA
This 513-nucleotide ribosomal RNA is filed under the name uncultured bacterium. RNAcentral's name for it is "partial 16S ribosomal RNA". It matches the Rfam family "Bacterial small subunit ribosomal RNA", at positions 28 to 523 of the family's 1533-position model. The record is from RNAcentral.